RNAcentral lists this long non-coding RNA (1001 nucleotides) under Sus scrofa (pig). RNAcentral's name for it is "lncRNA (ENSSSCG00050003104.1)". Lineage: Eukaryota; Metazoa; Chordata; Mammalia; Artiodactyla; Suidae. The record is from RNAcentral.
CAGCCUUCCCGCAUCCAUCGCAGGGGGCACUUGUGCCUUCCGCACCUUCCCCACCCCCGUAAACACCAUCAGGACCAGCUCCCGGUCGCCUUUCUGGUGGAGAAGCUUCCUGGCCUCCAGCUGCUGGCUGCCCGGGCUGGCACAUUGGGCACACACGGACCAUCCCAGCUCUGCCCAGCCCCCAGGGAUUGGGGGGGAGGGGCAGGAUGAGGGGAGGGGUGGGGGCAGACGUGGAGGUUCCCCCCACCCCACCCCGGUCAGGCCGCGCCCUGGCGAGGAAUCUUGGCGCAGGGCAGCCAGCUCUGAUGCCCAGGCGGCUUUGGUAUUUCACAUUGACAUAGUUUUGGGGUGAGACCAGGCUCUGGACUUUCAGUCAUACUGCGGGGUACCUGAGGCCAUGGUGGGCAGAGGGCACUGAACCCGCUGAGCUGAGGGUAGGAGCUCCUGGCUCAACCGCACCUGCCGGUCCUGCGUGGCCUGGAUACUCAGCUGAGAGAUGGGAAUAAGGGAAUUUGGGAAAAGAGAUGACGCAACGGGUGAAAAGGAGCCCCAGGACCCUGCCCCCAAGGCUGGCCGUCCAGGGAACCCUGGCCGACAACACCUGUCACCCAGGCAUGCUCAGCUUGGAAUCAGGUGAGAGUUCAGGUCUCUGCCAAUGGCUGGGCCCCCUCCCUGCAGGACCAUUUUCACUGGGGUCACCCACGGCCCCCCAGAGCCCCAUUUGGCAAGGACGGUCUUCAAAAACCGCUCUCUCGGGUAAACAGUGGCGUCUACUGGUUGUAGGUGCAACACAACUCCCGAGGAAUGAGUUCCUGGAAAAAUCCGGAGCAGAGAAGCUUUGGACAGUGUGUGUUUCUUUGUUGGUAAAUAAUCUCCACUAAGCGAGCUUGGCAGCCCUGCGGGCGCACCCGGGACAGGUGCUCUGGGCCUGGGCCUGUCCUCCGCACAAGAGCUGGACUCUAACCCUCCGCCCCACUGGGACCCAUGGAGGUGGAGGGGCG